CUCUAGUGACUCAGACCUAUAUUCUGCACUGUAGGAGAAUUGCUAUAGGUCCAGCUCAUUGUGGGUUUCAGAAAACCUAAACUACCAGAAAAAGUAGGGGAAAUGGGGGAAAGGUAAAGCUGUUUUACUUAUAGUAGAAAUAGUACUAAAUUUGGUGUUGGGUUUCUUUUCUACUGUAUUAAAUGCUAUCAUUAAGUCAGUUGAACUACUGUUCUUUCUCUAUUUCAUCCCCUACUUUUAAUUGUACAAAUUUGCAAACUUAAAAAAAAUCUUAAAGCUUGAGUUUUUUAGAUUUAAGAUUUUUUUUUCACUGAAGGGUUUUGGUUUGCUAAAUGGAAAAGUAGGCUUUUGGGGGGGGGGGGGAGCAAUGCCUGUAACUCUCCACAGUGCAUUGCUGUAGCUUUAUAGGUUUGUGUGAGAAGUGCUAGGCAUGGUGGCCCAUGACUACUUCAAGAGAACUAUUUGAUAACUUAGUUUGACGAGAGAAAAGUGGCAUGAAUAAUCAGCAUAGUAGUUCCCUUGAACCUGGCUGACUAAAAAUGUUUGAUAUUUUCAGUUGAUGCUCAGGCAUCUUGAUCACCCUUAAAAGGUAUUUAUUUCUACUGCUGAGUGAAGACAAGUAGAACUGAAGUAUUAGUGAAAAAAAAAAGUAACUGUCACAUUGAGGCGAGGUUGUUAAAUACUAGGAAGGUGGAAGGCCAAUAGGAAAUGUGAGCUGCACAUAGGCUUUUGUCUAUAGUCAUGCCUUCAUUGGCCGUUGGUAAGUUUUCUCCUGAUAGGAGAAAAACAACGUCCACUCAGCUUCCUGCAUGUUAGGAAAGCUCUCAAACAACUGAGCUAUGUCCCCAGCAGUAGACUUUUGAAAUCAUUUUCACACCAGCUUUUGAAAUAGCAUUUUAUCAAAACACGUAUGUAAGCUGGCAGGGUUAUGGGCAGCAUUUAAAAUUUAUACUGAGGGGUUGGGGAUUUACUCAGUGGUAGACAAGCGCAAGGCCCUGGGUUCGGUCCCCAGCUCCG
Molecule: long non-coding RNA, 1017 nt
Filed under: Rattus norvegicus (Norway rat)
Lineage: Eukaryota; Metazoa; Chordata; Mammalia; Rodentia; Muridae
Description: long non-coding RNA NONRATT021406
Source: RNAcentral